Molecule: ribosomal RNA, 62 nt
Filed under: Pilidium concavum
Lineage: Eukaryota; Fungi; Ascomycota; Leotiomycetes; Chaetomellales; Chaetomellaceae
Description: partial 28S ribosomal RNA
Source: RNAcentral
UUGUUUGACCUCGGAUCAGGUAGGGAUACCCGCUGAACUUAAGCAUAUCAAUAAGCGGAGGC